Non-coding RNA from Treponema sp. OMZ 838, 98 nucleotides. The record is from Rfam. NCBI's taxonomy places the organism in Bacteria, Pseudomonadati, Spirochaetota, Spirochaetia, Treponematales, Treponemataceae.
ACGGACAGGGAUGUCCGUGGUUCCAUGCAGUUGCGACGUUUUUGCCUAGCAAAAACUCGCGUUCAAAAAUUGACAAGGAGGUCAAUUUUUGAACUUGC